GACGAACGCUGGCGGCGUGCUUAACACAUGCAAGUCGAGCGGAAAGGCCCUUCGGGGUACUCGAGCGGCGAACGGGUGAGUAACACGUGAGUAAUCUGCCCUUGGCUUUGGGAUAACUACCGGAAACGGUGGCUAAUACCGGAUACGACAACCGUCUGCAUGGGCUGGUUGUGGAAAGUUUUUUCGGCCAGGGUGGUGCUCGCGGCCUAUCAGCUUGUUGGUGGGGUAAUGGCCUACCAAGGCUUCGACGGGUAGCCGGCCUGAGAGGGUGACCGGCCACACUGGGACUGAGACACGGCCCAGACUCCUACGAGAGGCAGCAGUGGGGAAUAUUGGACAAUGGGCGGAAGCCUGAUCCAGCAACGCCGCGUGAGGGAUGACGGCCUUCGGGUUGUAAACCUCUUUCAGUACCGACGAAGCGCCGAUGAUGGUGGUGACGGUAGGUACAGAAGAAGCACCGGCCAACUACGUG
RNAcentral lists this ribosomal RNA (472 nucleotides) under uncultured bacterium. RNAcentral's name for it is "partial 16S ribosomal RNA". It matches the Rfam family "Bacterial small subunit ribosomal RNA", at positions 28 to 507 of the family's 1533-position model. The record is from RNAcentral.